UCAUGUAUGUAGAUUUACAUGUAGGUAUAUGUAAAUAUUUUCAUAACAUCGUACAUGAAGUAGUCUAGAGUUUCAUUGUUGUUGUGGAACUAUAGGGGUGAAUAGACAUCUCGUUGCUACAGAGAAUCAUGUAUUGUACAUACAUGACAUAUACAUGUACAUGUAUGCCUUGCCUCUUCUUGUAUUAGCCAUUGCAAAAGAUUGGAAUCAAGCUGAAAUAAAAACAAAUACAAAUAGGUAAAAUAUUCAUUAUUGCUUUAAAAUUUUUACAUAUACAAUGUAGCAUAAAGGCUUCAUGUCACGUCCACUUGUAUUUUUGUCCAUCUAAUGAGUUAACCUUUUUCAACUGAUUUUUAUAGUUCGUUCUCAAGUUGUACUGUUAUACCACUGUCCCAGGUUAGGGGAGGGUUGGGAUCCCGCUAACAUGUUCAACCCCGCCACAUUAUUUACGUUUGUGCCUGUCCCAAGUCAGUAGCCUGUAAUUCAGUGGUAAUCGUUUGUUUAUGUGUUACAUAUUUGUUUUUCGUUCAUUUUUUUUAUAUAAAUAAGGCCGUUUGUUUUCUCGUUUGAAUUGUUUUACAUUGUCUUAUUGGGGCCUUUUAUAUGGGGUAUGGGCUUUGCUCAUUGUCGAAGGCUGCGCGGUGACCUAUAGUUGUUAAUGUCUGUGUCAUUUUGGUCUCUUGUGGACAGUUGUCUCAUUGGCAAUCAUACCACAUCUUCUUUUUUAUAUAUUCAUGUCUAAAAUCUUUAUGUAUUAGUUUUGUCCAUGUUCAUUGAGGCCCUUAUAAUUACAUUUGUAAUGCUUAAAUUAUUUAGGGUCCCAAGUCAGGAUCGUCUGGCCUUUGUUAGUCUUGUAUGAUUUUCAAUUAUAGAUUCUUGUGUAUAAUUCUAACUUAAGUUAAGUAUGACAUGAACUCCAUAAUCAUUGAACUUGUAACUUUUGUUUUGGGGUCAAUUGAAGCAAGCCUUCAUGUUUGAGAGUUUCUCUCUGCAUUUAAGACCAUUUGGUGGCCUUCGGCUGUUCUCAGCUCUUUGGUCGUG
Molecule: long non-coding RNA, 1041 nt
Filed under: Mytilus galloprovincialis (Mediterranean mussel)
Lineage: Eukaryota; Metazoa; Mollusca; Bivalvia; Mytilida; Mytilidae
Source: RNAcentral